AUCUGGUCUUCUGGCAGAGAAUUCAAUCUAUUUUGUUGACGACUACAAGAUUAUCCCUUGAUGGAGGACUGCAGCAUCACACACCCCACUUUCUUCAGUGUUGAUACAAGGAUUGACAUUCUCCUCAUUUUCUACUUUAAGUCCUCAGAAAUAAACCUGAGUGGAAAACUGAAGAAAUCAAAGUACCCCAUGGAUAAGUCAACUAAGUGCUCAGACUCCUUGAAGAUUUGGGUCCCCUCUUGGACAAGAAACCCA
This is a long non-coding RNA of Hyaena hyaena (striped hyena), 255 nucleotides long. RefSeq lists it as uncharacterized. Lineage: Eukaryota; Metazoa; Chordata; Mammalia; Carnivora; Hyaenidae. The record is from RefSeq and is a predicted model, not a curated record. The transcript is spliced from 3 exons.